Molecule: non-coding RNA, 246 nt
Organism: Meleagris gallopavo (turkey)
Lineage: Eukaryota; Metazoa; Chordata; Aves; Galliformes; Phasianidae
Source: RefSeq, a predicted model, not a curated record
UGUGUCACCCCACGGCCUUUCCUUGUAGGGUGCACGCGGUCUCCCUGGAACUGCUGGUCUGCCGGGCAUGAAGGGACACAGAGGCUUCAGUGGUUUGGAUGGUGCCAAGGGUGAGCCUGGCCCCGCUGGUCCCAAGGGUGAGCCUGGCAGCCCUGGAGAGAACGGCGCUCCUGGGCAGAUGGGUCCUCGCGGUCUUCCCGGCGAGAGAGGCCGCCCCGGUCCAUCCGGUCCCGCUGUGAGUAUCGG